RNAcentral lists this long non-coding RNA (1886 nucleotides) under Mytilus galloprovincialis (Mediterranean mussel). The record is from RNAcentral. Lineage: Eukaryota; Metazoa; Mollusca; Bivalvia; Mytilida; Mytilidae.
GUUGUAAAUCUUGUAAAUCACUUUUACCAUAUUUUCACACAAUUUAUACAUAUUUAUGUUCAUCAUUUAUACAUGUAGAUACUUUCAUAUCACAUCUGUCACCCUAAAUUAUUCCAGUUUGGUGCUGUGUAUUUAGAGAUACGAUCUAUCAUUAUUGUAUAUAUACUUUAAAACUAUCUGUAAAAUGCAUCCAUCUUGAAUUGCAUAGUGUCAUAUAUAUGUCUCAUGGGUUAAAAUAAUUGAAAUCCACUUAACAUUUUGUGUGGUGGUCAUAUAUACUUGACCAUUUUAUCAAGAACAUAUUGUAUUUAGUAUGUAUGAUAGUUCUUGGCAUUCAACAAUAUUAAUUUUUUAAAUGCUAAAGCUGUUUUAUGUUAAUAAAGUUAAAACUAUGAAUGUAAGUGUAACCCAAACAAGAGAUAUUUAACAAACUUUUGGGCUGAACUUUCUCCAAUCUUGUGUUACAGAUGUCUUAAAAUAAUCAAAUUUAAAUUUAAUAUUUAGAUAAAUUGCUCAGAUAGAACAAUUACAAAUUAUGUUAUUGAAAUAUGGCUUAUUUUAUAUAACAAGAGGUCAAAAGAUGAACCUUUCUUAAAAAAAUUAAGUUCACUAAUUCUUUUUUGCCAUAUAUCUUUGUUAAUAUUAUUUCUUGAAAAAAAAAAAAUGAAUAUUUUAUUCACUUUCACAGUAGAAUAGUAUAUUCCAGAUAACUACUAUAUUAUUUACAACCAAUAAAAAUUUGGUUUGAAUAAUAAUUCCACAGCCUCUGUCAAAUAAAACAGAAUAAAGAAAUGAUUAAAAAUAAAUGAUUGAUUUUGGCACAUACUGGAUAUUUAUCGUAUUAUAUACAUACAUGUAAUUAUAAGAAAAGGACAAAUGUGUUUAGAACCCUUAAACAAAAUGUGCCCUUUUGUCACAUAUUUACUCUUUAGUUAAGUAAGGUAAUAUAGUUUUUGCAAAUAAGUUUAUACAGUUAUAAGGGUACUACUAAAAAAAAACAGUAAGCGAUUGUAAGUUUAAUUUUAAAUAGACAUAUUUGAUAUAAGAACAGGGAUGCAAAAACAAUGUUGUUAUCAGAGAUAUUUUUCUCUCUUUUUUUUGUAUCAAUAGGAUGUGCUUGUACAUAUACUUUUUGUUUCAGUAACCAUCAAACUUAAAAUUCAACAGAAGGUUAAAUUGAAUAUUCAACAGAAGGUUAAAUUGAAUAUUCAACAGAAGGUUAAAUUGAAUAUUCAACAGAAGAUAAAUUGAAUAUUCAACAGAAGAUAAAAUUGAAUAUUCAACAGAAGAUAAAAUUGAAUAUUCAACAGAAGGUUAAAUUGAAUAUUCAACAGAAGAUAAAUUGAAUAUUCAACAGAAGAUAAAAUUGAAUAUUCAACAGAAGAUUAAAUUGAAUAUUCAACAAGAUUAAUAUGAAUAUAUUUUUAAAGGUAAAUCAUAAUAUUCGAACUUGUUUAUAAUACUGGUCUAUAUUGAAUGACAUGAAUACAUACAUUUUGUUUAAGUAGUGGUUUGCAUAGCUAUAAGGGCAUAUUUUCAUAUAAGGUUUCAAACAUGUUAUUUUUGUUUUACUGUCAUGUGUUUAGAAAUUGGUAUCAUUUUAUGUGCAAUCAGUGGAUUACUAUCAUGUGAGCAUACAGAAAUAAAAUGUUCAACAUAUUCUUAUUUGUGUUAUUAAUAAUAUAUUAUGGCCCUUUAAAAAGGUGAAUAUCCAAAAUUGUCAACACGAGAAGGUUAUUUCAUUGAGGGCACAGCCCGAAGUGAAAUAACUUUUAAGGGUUGACAAUUUUGGAUAUUCAUCGAUUCUAAGGGGCCACAAUUGUUUUAUUAUACCGAACUAACAGCAGAAGAGCCUUUUGAACACUUACUAACUAAUAUAUUCUUUA